CAACCUGCCGAUGACUCGGGGAUAGCCUUUCGAAAGAAAGAUUAAUACCCGAUGGCAUAGUUCUUCCGCAUGGUGGAACUAUUAAAGAAUUUCGGUCAUCGAUGGGGAUGCGUUCCAUUAGGUUGUUGGCGGGGUAACGGCCCACCAAGCCUUCGAUGGAUAGGGGUUCUGAGAGGAAGGUCCCCCACAUUGGAACUGAGACACGGUCCAAACUCCUACGGGAGGCAGCAGUGAGGAAUAUUGGUCAAUGGACGAGAGUCUGAACCAGCCAAGUAGCGUGAAGGAUGACUGCCCUAUGGGUUGUAAACUUCUUUUAUACGGGAAUAAAGUGAGGCACGUGUGCCUUUUUGUAUGUACCGUAUGAAUAAGGAUCGGCUAACUCCGUGCCAGCAGCCGCGGUAAUACGGAGGAUCCGAGCGUUAUCCGGAUUUAUUGGGUUUAAAGGGAGCGUAGGCGGACGCUUAAGUCGGUUGUGAAAGUUUGCGGCUCAACCGUAAAAUUGCAGUUGAUACUGGGUGUCUUGAGUACAGUAGAGGCAGGCGGAAUUCGUGGUGUAGCGGUGAAAUGCUUAGAUAUCACGAAGAACUCCGAUUG
This 594-nucleotide ribosomal RNA is filed under the name uncultured Bacteroidota bacterium. RNAcentral describes it as "bacterial SSU rRNA". It matches the Rfam family "Bacterial small subunit ribosomal RNA", at positions 122 to 715 of the family's 1533-position model. The record is from RNAcentral. Lineage: Bacteria; Pseudomonadati; Bacteroidota.